This 823-nucleotide long non-coding RNA is filed under the name Equus caballus (horse). Its description in RNAcentral is "lncRNA (ENSECAG00000055336.1)". The record is from RNAcentral. Lineage: Eukaryota; Metazoa; Chordata; Mammalia; Perissodactyla; Equidae.
CCUGAUCCCAAAGGUGAUUCAGAGACAACAAUGGAUCAGUCUCCAAUUUUUAGUGUGAAAUUCUACUCUAUGAUUUCUAUUAGUUAAAUUUUGGUAGCUAAAACUGAAACCACUCAAAUUUCAGCAGAAAGGAAUUCAUACUGCAGUAUCAGGUAGUUCACAAAAGCAUCGGAAGCGUUGGAGGAGCAGAGCAGACAGAGGAUCCAGCUAAAACUCCCAGACCAAGAACCACAAGACCACUGCCAUAGUAUUGAGCAUCUUGUACAUACCAAGCAGUGGACUGAAUGCCUAGGAGUCCCCACCAAGCAAGACAGAUGUGUUCCCUGGAGUGUAGAGGCCAAGACAGGCAAGUUGCAGGCUGAUUGCAAGAGCGUGUAGAGACUCAACAGCUGACUGUGAGUCAAAUCCAACAUGAAGAGAAUCAUUUGAAAGCUGUUGAAAACCAAACCUCUGCGCUCACACCCCCAGACUCCUGAAAUAUGAUGAAGAGAUUUCUCGAGAGGCUUCAGCCUAGAACUCAAGCACAGAAAAGAAGAAGGAGAGGCGGAGGAGGAGAAAGAGAAGAAAAUAAAAGGGAAAAAACCUUGAAUGCAUAAUCACAAGGGUAAAAAUUAGAGACUGAAUGGAAUGUAACAGAGUUCUGGAUGCUGAGACAUGAGCUGUACCAGACGAUGAUGGGCAACCCUGCUCUGGCUGCCUGUUAGUACCAGUGAUGGAGAGCUGCAAGCCACAGAAAGAGGAACAAAAGAGAGCCCUGGAAGUGAUAGGGCUUGAUUCUGCCUUUUACUCACUGUAUGGACUUGGGGAAAUUACCAAAUCUUUG